This is a long non-coding RNA of Peromyscus eremicus (cactus mouse), 1403 nucleotides long. RefSeq lists it as uncharacterized. Lineage: Eukaryota; Metazoa; Chordata; Mammalia; Rodentia; Cricetidae. The record is from RefSeq and is a predicted model, not a curated record. The transcript has 3 exons.
CUAAGGCAGGCUGCCUGGCUACGAGUGAAAACAUUUCAGCAGUAGCUGAUCUUUUCCGUUGGUUGAGGACCAAGUCAGACUAGGCAUGGCUUUGAAGUUAUUUCUGUCUCGGUGGAUUAGAGGUAUCAAAAGGAGCAGCUCCGCAAACCUUCCAACAAAUAUUUACAGUUCUGCGCUAAACAACCUGCACUAUCCUUUAACCUUUACCGCCUUGUGAAACGCUUGCCAGCCUUCUCCAAACUGCUAAAAUUAGGAGAGAGGGCAGAAGCCCAAAGGAAAGGAAAUGCAGAACACCAAGGCAUCCCUUCUUCCUGUGGAGGGAAAACAUUGUCUUUCCAUGCUAACCUGGCUGCAGAGGUGAUUUCCCCUUCCACUGUUCCUCCAUCCCACAGCACCCCGGGCAGACAGGCCUCUGCCCCUCGGCGAUAUUUCUCAGGAUCAGAGGGACACUGGCUGCCCUGAAGCCAAAGUUUCUUAAAAGUGUCAAAGGGUGGCUCCGAGCCAGCCAGGAAGGACAUCGAAUGCCGCCAAACACUGAGUGUGUGAAUGCUGACUUUUUUUCAGCCCCUGGGACACCGCACAACGGGCAACCUCUCUCCGUGAAGGUUUGUAAAUGGAAAUGCUCAUCAUUGUUUGCUUCUAAAAUGAUGAAGAAAUUAGUUGAAUGGAUGCCUUUAGCCAUCCUUUUCUAUUUUUAAGAUUCCACAUUGUGAACACAAAGAUCUCAAAGUAAUAUCCACAGAGAAUAAAAGGAUGAGAGAAAGAAUUCAGAAGGUGAACUGUCACAGUCAGUGGGCUGAGAACAUCCAGUCCCUUACUUCUGUCCUCUGUCCUCAGAAGAGGAAUCAAGCCCAUCACAAUUGCAAUAAAGGAGCCCCCCAGAAGCAGGUCCACCAAUGGGCACUCCAGGGGCAUUUGCUUAGCAACAGAAAAGUCACAAAGUAAGGCAGGGGUGGGGAGUAACAGAUACCAUACCGGGACAUAACAACUUUUAAGUCCCGUACAUGGCAUCCAGGGACCUUCGGAACUUCCUGUGUGAGUCUGAAUCCCCAGAACAACAGAGAUAAGAGCCAACAGUACACAUCACACUGCUAACUUACCGUCUUCUACUACCUCAGACUGGAGCACCGGACACAGAACGGCAGAGCAGCUCCAAGGAGACUGAGAGACCCAUGGAAGCUCCAAGGGUGGCAGAAAAGGAAAAGGAACUCGGAGUCUGACCAGUGUGGGUGAUUACAGCAGCCUCUGAGGUCAGCACACAGUACUUUCGGAAUUGAGUGCUAUGCAACUGCUAAGCUGUGCAGUUUUUGUUGAAGGAAAUACAAGAAACUAGCUCACUCAUCGUCUACAAUUUUAUGUUCUUUUGACUCAAAGUUAAAAGAAAAUAUAGAUUACCAGAAGGA